ACUGUUAAAAGUCUGUCUGUCUCUCAAAUUCGGGUGUCUCUCACUUUACCUCUACCUGCUGUACUCCUUUCCCAUCUCGUCCGGAAGAAGUGCCAUCCCGCCCUGUCCUGUCCUACAGCAGGAAAAGACACCUACUCCUUUUCUAAGACUCACUGAUUUGAUGUGGCAUGCCAAGGACCAGCAUCAGCUUGGGAGAGGGUCCUGAGGAAGGGGUGUUUGGACGCAGUGGAAGAAUGACUCAAAGUCAAUGAUGCGCACCACGGACUUCAUCUCUGAAUUUGAGGCCAGCGUGGACUUCAUGUGGAUGGCACAAGGUUUCCUGCUCACAGAUAAACAUGGGCGAAACCAGAAAUGUUACUUGUGAGAGAUAUCUCCUGAGUGGAGGAAACCAACGCUUGUUUUCCACACACAAGGAUGUUAAUGACCCAGUGAACUUUGCUAUCUGUAGAGCCAGGCCACCCUCAAAUUCAACAGAACAUGUAUCCUGAUCUCUCCCUCCCAGCUAAUAAAAGCCACCUUAGGGGAGAAGUCACAUGUGUUUUACAGCCCGCUGAUCUCUAGACCACACCAGAUCCUAGGCCCUUAAGCUAUAGAACUCACCCUCAAGGCCACAUGUGCUUUGCAAAGGAGUUUCUUUGUAAUCAUGCUGUAAGCUUUAUUGUGCACCUAGAAUUGGAGUGAUGGUUGUUGCCUGGAAACUUUCGCCCAAAUUGUACUGUGUUUAAAUAUUCUUGUGGGGAACUUCCUGGCACCAGACCAAAGAAGUUUGAUGAAUCUAGUCUUCCUGUUCCUUUUGAGGCUCACAGGGACCCCAGUAUACAUAGCAAGUUCUGGAAGAACCAAUACAGAGAGACCUUGUCCCAAAAAACUAAGAUAGAUAGAAUGAUAGAUGAUGGGUAGAUAGAUAGAUAGAUAGAUAGAUAGAUAGAUAGAUAGGUAGAUAGAUAGAUAGAUAGAUAGAUAGAUAGAUGAUAGAUAGAUAGGCUAGAUAGACAGAUAGACAGACAGAUAGUAAAGAAAUAUAGAAAGCAUGAAAACAGAAAAUAUAUAGAAGGUACAAACCAAAACUAGAGACAGUGUCUCCCUACAGGAAAUCUUGGCACUGAGAGAUGCCAAUGUGAUGAUGAAAUGACAUAGGGGAGCAUUCCAGCUAUAGAAAAUUGAUAGUCACUGACCCUACAUCUAGGAGUGUAAAUGAGUUUAUCAUAUGGACCCUACUGGUGUCUUGAAGGUGGAAGCCUCGGUGAGAUGUAAACCUGUACCCAGUAGGAAAGCCACUCUUUUACCUGUAGUCCUAUCUGACACAUUUGUGUCAGAGCAUGACAACCAUCUCAGACAAAGCUGUCAGCCAGGUAGCCUCUGUGUGGCACCACAGUUAUCACACCCUCAGACCACUUUUGCCCAGAGACCUGCUGUUGCCCAUCCACUGGCAUUGACCUGUGCUUGCUGCUAGCAUGACCAGUGACUCCCGUUACAGACUCAGCCCCUUGCAGCACAGAUGCACACCUCUGCUGGAGCACAUGAGCUGGAUCCUUAGCGGAGCAGAGACACUGAGCUGUAAUGUCUUAGCCAUUAGUUAGGGUUUCUAUCGCUGGGCAGACAGCAUGGCCAAACACAGCUUGGCGAGGAGAGGGUUUGCAUCAGCUUACAGUUCCACAGCACGGUCCAUCGGAGGGAAGUCAGAGCUUGAACUCAAGGUGGGAACCUGGAGAUAGGAGCUGAACACAGGCCAUGGAGGAUGCUGCAUGCUAGCGUGCUGUCUGUGGACUGCUCAGCCUGCUUUCUCACACCACUCAGAACCACCAGCCCAGGGGAGCCUCCCACAGUGGGCUGGGCCCUUCCAUACCAACCAUCCAUCAAGGAACUGCCCCACAGGCUCUCCCAGGGGUCAGCUCAGUUAGGGCAUUUCCUCAGUUGAGGAUCCAUCUUUCCAGAU
Molecule: non-coding RNA, 1936 nt
Organism: Rattus norvegicus (Norway rat)
Lineage: Eukaryota; Metazoa; Chordata; Mammalia; Rodentia; Muridae
Source: RefSeq, a predicted model, not a curated record